UGGGGAAUAUUGCACAAUGGGGGAAACCCUGAUGCAGCAACGCCGCGUGAAGGAAGACGGUUUUCGGAUUGUAAACUUCUAUCAACGGGGAAGAAAAAAAUGACAGUACCCGAAUAAGAAGCCCCGGCUAACUACGUGCCAGCAGCCGCGGUAAUACGUAGGGGGCAAGCGUUAUCCGGAAUCACUGGGUGUAAAGGGUGCGUAGGCGGUUAUGUAAGUCAGAUGUGAAAUACCGAAGCUCAACUUCGGGGCUGCAUUUGAAACUGUGUGACUAGAGUACAGGAGAGGUAAGUGGAAUUCCUAGUGUAGCGGUGAAAUGCGUAGAUAUUAGGAAGAACACCAGUGGCGAAGGCGACUUACUGGACUGAAACUGACGCUGAGGCACGAAAGCGUGGGGAGC
Molecule: ribosomal RNA, 400 nt
Filed under: uncultured bacterium
Lineage: Bacteria
Description: bacterial SSU rRNA
Rfam family: Bacterial small subunit ribosomal RNA
Source: RNAcentral